UCCGUAGGUGAACCUGCGGAGGGAUCAUUACACAAAUAUGAAGGCGGGCUGGAACCUCUCGGGGUUACAGCCUUGCUGAAUUAUUCACCCUUGUCUUUUGCGUACUUCUUGUUUCCUUGGUGGGUUCGCCCACCACUAGGACAAACAUAAACCUUUUGUAAUUGCAAUCAGCGUCAGUAACAAAUUAAUAAUUACAACUUUCAACAACGGAUCUCUUGGUUCUGGCAUCGAUGAAGAACGCAGCGAAAUGCGAUAAGUAGUGUGAAUUGCAGAAUUCAGUGAAUCAUCGAAUCUUUGAACGCACAUUGCGCCCUUUGGUAUUCCAAAGGGCAUGCCUGUUCGAGCGUCAUUUGUACCCUCAAGCUUUGCUUGGUGUUGGGCGUCUUGUCUCUAGCUUUGCUGGAGACUCGCCUUAAAGUAAUUGGCAGCCGGCCUACUGGUUUCGGAGCGCAGCACAAGUCGCACUCUCUAUCAGCAAAGGUCUAGCAUCCAUUAAGCCUUUUUUUCAACUUUUGACCUCGGAUCAGGUAGGGAUACCCGCUGAACUUAAGCAUAUCAAUAAGCGGAGG
This 569-nucleotide ribosomal RNA is filed under the name Alternaria alternata. Its description in RNAcentral is "eukaryotic LSU rRNA". The stretch from base 196 to 349 matches the Rfam family "5.8S ribosomal RNA". Lineage: Eukaryota; Fungi; Ascomycota; Dothideomycetes; Pleosporales; Pleosporaceae. The record is from RNAcentral.